AGAGUUUGAUUAUGGCUCAGAACGAACGCUGGCGGCGUGGAUAAGACAUGCAAGUCGAACGCUGAUUUCAGGGUAGCAAUAUUCUGAAGUCGGAGUGGCGCAAGGGUGCGUAACACGUGGGUAAUCUGCCGUGAAGCUUGGAAUAACCCCGAGAAAUCGGGGCUAAUGCCGGAUGUGACUUUUGGGAGGCAUCUCCCGAACUUCAACGCUGGGGACCGUAAGGCCUGGCACUUCACGAUGAGCCCGCGGCCUAUCAGCUAGUUGGUGAGGUAACGGCUCACCAAGGCUAAGACGGGUAGCUGGUCUGAGAGGACGACCAGCCACACUGGAACUGAGACACGGUCCAGACACCUACGGGUGGCAGCAGUCGAGAAUUUUUCACAAUGGGCGAAAGCCUGAUGGAGCGACGCCGCGUGGGGGAUGAAUGGCUUCGGCCCGUAAACCCCUGUCAUUCGCGAGCAAAGCUGCGUGUAUAAUACAUGCGCAGUUGAUAGUAGCGAAAGAGGAAGGGACGGCUAACUCUGUGCCAGCCGCCGCGGUAA
This 542-nucleotide ribosomal RNA is filed under the name uncultured Verrucomicrobiota bacterium. Its description in RNAcentral is "bacterial SSU rRNA". It matches the Rfam family "Bacterial small subunit ribosomal RNA", at positions 8 to 523 of the family's 1533-position model. Lineage: Bacteria; Pseudomonadati; Verrucomicrobiota. The record is from RNAcentral.